UACGAAGGGUGCAAGCGUUAAUCGGAAUUACUGGGCGUAAAGCGCGCGUAGGUGGUUCAGUCAGUCAGAUGUGAAAGCCCCGGGCUCAACCUGGGAAUUGCACCUGAUACUGCUGAGCUAGAGUACGGUAGAGGGUAGUGGAAUUUCCGGUGUAGCGGUGAAAUGCGUAGAGAUCGGAAGGAACACCAGUGGCGAAGGCGACUACCUGGACCGAUACUGACACUGAGGUGCGAAAGCGUGGGUAGCAAACAGG
This 253-nucleotide ribosomal RNA is filed under the name uncultured microorganism. RNAcentral's name for it is "partial 16S ribosomal RNA". It matches the Rfam family "Bacterial small subunit ribosomal RNA", at positions 524 to 776 of the family's 1533-position model. The record is from RNAcentral.